AGGAAGGUAGUGUAGUUAACACCUGCAUUAUUUGACGUUACCUACAGAAGAAGCACCGGCUAACUCCGUGCCAGCAGCCGCGGUAAUACGGAGGGGUGCGAGCGUUAAUCGGAAUUACUGGGGCGUAAAGCGCAUGCAGGCGGGCCUGUUAAGUCAGAUGUGAAAGCCCGGGGCGUUAACCUCGGAAUUGCAUUUGAAACUGGCAGGCUAGAGUCUUGUAGAGGGGGGUAGGAAUUUCAGGUGUAGCGGUGAAAUGCGUAGAGAUCUGAAGGAAUACCAGUGGCGAAGGCGGCCCCCCUCGGACAAAGACUGACGCUCAGAUGCGAAAGCGUGGGGAGCAAACAGGAUUAGAUACCCCUGGUAG
Molecule: ribosomal RNA, 364 nt
Filed under: uncultured bacterium
Lineage: Bacteria
Description: bacterial SSU rRNA
Rfam family: Bacterial small subunit ribosomal RNA
Source: RNAcentral